This is a long non-coding RNA of Lutra lutra (Eurasian river otter), 272 nucleotides long. RefSeq lists it as uncharacterized. Lineage: Eukaryota; Metazoa; Chordata; Mammalia; Carnivora; Mustelidae. The transcript is spliced from 3 exons. The record is from RefSeq and is a predicted model, not a curated record.
GCAGGGAAGACGGAAGGGCUGACAUUUUGCGGCAUCUGCGAUUGGCAAAAUAUUAAAAAGAAUUACAAGGUCAAGUUAUGUGGAUCUCCUCCAGGCUGUCGCACUAAAUUUAGUUGUGAAGUCUCCUUAGGCUCUUCUUGGCAGUGACAGCUUUUCAGCCUUCUUGUUUUCGACGACCUUGACAGUUUGGGGGAUUACUGGUCAGACUCCAGGAAGUACUCAGAACCUAGAACCCGAGGCUGAGGCAUCAGUGAAACAUCCGUCAAGAGGAC